This is a long non-coding RNA of Homo sapiens (human), 9055 nucleotides long. The record is from Ensembl. Lineage: Eukaryota; Metazoa; Chordata; Mammalia; Primates; Hominidae.
AGAAUAAAAGCAAGCAGAGGAACGUGGAAGGAUGAGACUGGCUGAGUCUUCUGGUCUUCAUCUUUCUCCCAUGCUGGAUGCUUCCUGCCCUUGAACAUUGGACUGCAAGUUCUUUAGCUUUUGGACGUUUGGACUUACACCAGUGGUUUGCCAGGGGCUCUCAGACCUUCUGCCACAGACUGAAGGCUGCACUUUCAGCUUCCCUACUUUUGAGGUUUUGGAACUCGGACUGGCUUUCUUGCUCCGCAGCUUGCAGGUGGCCUGUUAUGGGACUUUACCUUGUGGAUCAUAACUGAGAACCCUCUCUUGGGAUCUGGAUCAGGACCCCUUUCUGGUAACAUCUUCCUGGCAAACCCCAAAGGGAUGAUACUGAGGAGACUUCUGACCCAAAGGAAAUGGACUGGAGCACCAAUUGGCUAACUUUGGCUUGGCCCCCAGUGCUAUGGUGCACUGAGCUGGGUUACUAGGGCCACUUAGGAAAAGGGAACCCAGAAGCCUAGCAUGCGGCAAAAGGAAUCAAGAAAAACUUUUUUUUAAGCUACUUGUAGCUUUUCACAAUUGAGUAAGGUAUACUCCUGUAAACAAAAUUUGGAGCACAUUCGUCUCUCUCUACCUGAUUUCUCCAGAAUUUGAAAACUAGUUGACAACUUUGUGCCCUGUCUUCCAGUUUAACAUGGAGCUUUCAGUCUGUAAUGCAGAGGAUCCUCUAGGGUAUAACUCCACAAGGCAGAAGACAAGUUUACUGUGGACAAAAAAAUGGGCUAGAAUGUCUUCAGCUUCUCAGGCCCUUAAUAGGGCUGAUGAUGGAUGACUCUACUGGAGAAAAGGAAGACAAAGAGGUUUCAGAUCAUCAAUAAAGCAGCUGACUCUCAAGAAAUGGCUGGAAAUCAUAUUUAAAGUCGAUCUUAAAUGAAUUUGAAAAAAAUGCACAUAAAGAUCGUUACCUGCCUCGUUUGGACAUAUCAGACCUAUGAAUAUUUAUGUAGAAACAAGAGCUUAUAAUUAUCACAAAAAGAAAAUGAACACUACUUUUCCCAUUUAGAAAAAUAUGAAAGGCAAAUUUUAAAUGAAAACUCUCUUGGGACAUUUGAUAUGUCAUGAACUAUCAAGACCAUGACUAUUUUUUAAUAGCUUUUGAAAUCUUUCUCGAAAAUGUCUCUCUUCUUUUCUCCAUUCUUAUUUAUUCCUUAGUUUUGACUUUAAUAUAUUUAUUAUUCUCAGUUGCUUCUGUAAGCCUUAACUUUUAUCAAAUUUGUAAAAUAGCAGAGAAUAGAAUUUUGAUGUCAUUCAAAUGCCUCACCUAGUACUAUGCACAUAGUAAACACACAACUAAUACAACUGCACUUGGAUUCAAAGAUCCUUCAAUGGUGGAGAAUAGAAAAGCUAUAGGGCAGGAUUUCUAGUCUGCACAGAGCUGAGCACAGAGGAGCAGUGCUGUGUCAAGGGCAAGACUCUCACAAGUGGCUGGAGCAAACAGAGAGGAAAGACUCUUCCCCUAGAACCUAAGUAGCCAGUUAUUCAGGCCCAAAGGACCCCUCUGUUGCUAAAUCAGGGAUCAAGCCUUAAAUAGGUUAAUUUUUUCCUUAUGUGAACAUACAAGGGUAAGCAGACUUACCAUUCUCAUCAAAAGGAGAUGGAAAAGGGACAUAGAGGUCUGACAUCUGCAUAAGCUACCUAGCUACCUGCAAUCUAGCUGGUACAACAGCUAUCUUUAAUUUUUAGUAAGGGAGCUCAAGUAAGUUGCCCUAGAUGAAAAAACCAGUAAGGAGAAAGCUUAAAUAACUUGCCCAAGAUGACACAGCUAGCACAGGGCAGUGCUUGAGUAACUUCCCGAGGUUACACAGGUAGUGAGAGGUGGAAUUGCUAGGUUGUUCAGCACCACACUUUUCUCCCCUCUACCUCAAUGGUUCCUGGCUCUGUGUGGGUGUCUCCUAGCAGAUAAAAUGGCCCUCUUCCAUUUACAUUUGUCUUAUCCUUAUAUCUUCAAAAUGGUUCGUAAGACAAAAAGAGCCUGCCCUUGAUAGACUGCCUCCCACUGCAGCAAGUCUAGCACUGAGCAGCCCUAAGACUAGAAUGCCAACUUCGUAGAGGGAGGAUAGAUAGGAAAGGCUCCUGAGACCUGGGGCCUGGGAGAAGGAAGUAGUAGGUUCAAGAUUAAGAGGAGGUGAGUGAUACGUGUGGCUCAGACAUAAAAUGUAAUGCCCACCAAAAAACUCAGUCAUCAAUCUAAGUAAUAUUUACUGAAAUGAUUUUUAAAAUCACAGUAUGAGAAACCCGUGAAGAACAAAAUAUCAAACUUGUAAAUAAAGACAGGAUCCGGCAGGGCCAGUGUGGUGGUGAGGCAAGUGAGGCUAAGUUAUGUAAAUGAAGGGUUGGACCCUAUCUUAAUUUUAAACUGCUGAAAUUUUAUUUAUCAUGGGCUUUUUUGGCAUUUUGAUUGUUAAAAUAAUUCAUUAUAUUGUUUAUCUUGAUUACUGCAUUUUGGCAUCCCCAUAAAUUUUGUGCCUGAGCUGACUGCCUCACUCACUUCAUUCUAACGUUGGCUUUAGGGUGAAGGCUGGGGAGCCAAUCUGAACCUGACAAAUAGUCUGGGCCUCACAAAAGAAAGGAGAAAGGUGGGAGCCUCACUAAGAAUUUCAUGCCGGGCUCCUCUUGGCACAUUAUUUUGUUUGUUCCUGACGGCCACCCUCCAAGGCAGCUAUUAGUAUUAUCAUUUAUGUAGGAAACUGAGUGCCAGUAUUACAAGGGUAGAAAGUGACUGAGCUGGGUUUCAGCCAAGGCCUAUCUGCCUCUAGAUCCUGGCAAUUCCCACUACUGGCUGAUACGUGCCUAAUAGUUUAUAACCAAAAUUCUUGACAUUUUCUCCACCUUUCAAGUCACAAGCUCCACCACAUGAAGACAGAAAUCACAAUGGGAAAUUUCAUUUGCUUGUCUACUCUUGAAGCUGCGUGAAAUUUUAAACCAUAGCUCUAUUUUCCUGAUGUCCUUAAAUUACUAUUCUUCCCAAGUUAUUCAUAUUUUACGUCUAGUAUGAGGCUCAGACAGUAAAAGUGUGAAUGCAAUGCACCCAUUUUACAUGUAUCAUUCAUUACUAUGCUCGAUUGGUGUGCCCUUUGCCGCACCACAGCAUAUUUAGAACAAAACAGAUCAGUCGGUUGGGGGGAUUCAGUAACACUCUACACUUGUAUCCAGUCAAUUGUUGAUGGUAAUCCAAUCUUGGAUGUGGUGAAAAGAGGGUGGGCUUAGGGUCUAAGUGAAAUUGACUGCCAGUGUGUGACUCUGAAUCAUUUAUUUAUAUCUCUGAGGUUUUCGUUCCCUUUUUUAUAAAAAUUUUAUUAAAUAAGUUUUCAUUUUUCCGUAAAACUAAGACUGAAGGAAAGUCUGCCUUUCUUAAAGUCAGCAAGGUCUACUGAUAAAGAAGAUACCUUGUAAUCUCUACUUUCAUGACAGAAAUCCAGGCCUAAUCAAUACUUUUUUCUAUUAUCACUGUAAUUAAGGCAUAAGGCUUUCCCUGAUAUACAAAUGAUUAAACCUCUCAAUAAACAACUUCACAUAGGUCUGGCUCUGCUGAUUACUUUAUCAUUGCCUUCUGCAAUAGCCACUAUUGCCAUCUACAGCUUGGGCUCCUCUCCAUAAAUAGAGUACAAUUAACAAAUGCAUUAUUGUCAUCUUGUUUGUAUAAAUGUUGUUGUGAACAAUAGCCAUUUAUUAUCUAAGAUGUCACCUUUUGGCUUUCACAAACUAACAUUUCAUGAAUUCAUAGACCAUGCACAGUCUUUCAGGCAGAAUUAAUCAAAUAUCUCUUUGGGACCCUAAUAGAUUUUGGGGGCAUAAUUCUGUUAUGUUUGUGUCAUCUUUGCACGUUCAAUGCCAAGUAUAAUGCCUGGCAUAUAAUAGGUUCCACAACAGAUAAUAGUUGAUCCUUGAUGGAAAUCACUCAGUUUAUUUCGUUUUGUUCCUGAAAAAAUAAACACUGCAAACACUGGUCUUUCCAGAGUCUCACCGGAUAAAUAUCUGUGUCCUCCACCAAAUGGCCCAUGAAUUAGCACAUCAGAGUGAAGAGAAAGGAUUAGGGACUAGAAGAACUAGUAGAUGAUACUAAUCAAGCUUCAGACUUAUUGAAUUAAUUUAGAUCAAAGGCUGACUAAUCCUUGUCAUUUAGCCCAUUUUCUAAUAUUUGAGCAUUUAAUCUUUUGGGGAGAUCUUCUUUGGAGGAAUACAUUCAUUCAAUAGAUUGAAUAUUUAUGGAUCAGAUAUUGUUUCAGGUUCUAGAGGCUCAAAAAUGUCUAAGAUAUUAUCUCUGUCUUUAAGGCUAUCACAGGUUAAUGGGUAAUGUACACAGAGUUAAAAUGCAGUGCAAAUGCAUAGAAACAUGUCCAAGGAAUAAUACGGGCAUAAAUGAGAAGUUAUUGGCUUUUAUUUCCUGAGCCUAGGAAUGUGUAGCAAAGAAGCUUCAAAGUGGUCUAAAGAAUGAGUAGGAAUUUUCCAGCCAGUACAAAAUAGCAUAAUAAGCUUAGGGAUUUUUUUUUUCUUUUUUGAGAUGGAGUCUUGCUCUUGUCACCCAGGAUAGAAUGCCAUGGUGCGAUCUUGGCUCACUGCAACUUCCACCUCCCGGGUUCAAGUGAUUCUCUUGCCUCAGACUCUUAAGUAGCUGGGAUUAUAGGCACCUGCCACCACACCCGACUAAUUUUUGUAUUUUUAUUAGAGACGGGGUUUUGCCAUGUUGGCCAGGCUGGUCUUGAGCUCCCUAACCUCGUGCUCUGCCCACCUCGGCCUCCCAAAGUUCUGGGAUUACAGGCGUGAGCCACUGCGCCCAGUCAGGAGUUUUAAUAGCUUCAUAUGGUUGGAACACAGGAUGCUUGGAGAGGGCAGGGGAUUACGCAGCACAUUGGGUCAGGGAUCAGAUGAUAGGGAGCCCUCUGUACCUGUUGAGUUUUGACUUGGACCUUUUGGUCAGAAGUUCUCAACAGUCCUGAGAAAUACAGGAUACUACUUGGCUCACAUCCCAAUUAGUACGAAUGGGUCAUCCAGAGUGAUUAAUCCCCUUUGCAUAUGUGAUUUUGGUUUGGCCUUUUGCCCUGAGAAUUUCAACCUUGGCUGUAUAUUAGAAUCCUAUAGUGGGAACUUUUGAAAAAUACAUAUUUGUUCUUCUCCUCUAUGUCACCCCUCUAAUCAGCUUACUGAACACAGCCCAGCAGUAAUCCCUAAACUCAUGUUUAGGGACUUCUGAAGUGGGGAGACAUUGACAGGUGUUAAACAGGGUUAAAACAUCAAAGUAAAUGUACCUUUAUGUCAUUUUAUAAAUGACACUCUGGAAAGGUCAGAUUGAUCACUGUGGGGAGGAUGUUUGGGAAGGGAGAUAAAGGGCACAAAUGACCAAUGGCAGGGAUUCUUCAAAUCACUGAAGUAGUUAGAGCCAGGUAUAAAAAGAAUAUGAGCUAAGUCAGUGGGGGUGUAAAGGAGGAGCUAGAAAUGGAUAGCAUUAUAACUAUAGAAUCCAUAAGACAGGUUGCAUGAAACUGAAUGAGUAAAGCGAUGAACACUAAAGAGUUUAGAAUGAUUCUAGAUUCUGGCUGGGGUUUCUGGAAAAGGAAAGAGAUAAAUUCCAGGAGGUUUGGAGAAAGAAAAGCAACAAACUCAACUUGGGACAUGAUUAGAACUUGAGAUGAUUGUGGUUUAUUCAAGAUUUUAUGUCUUGCAGGCAGAUUUAUAUCCCAGCCUGGAGCUCAGGAAGAAGGUCUGGGCUGAGGAUAGGGAUUUGGGACGUAUCUGUUGGGAAAAAGCUGAGGGUUGGGAGGGAAACUGAGGCAGGGCUUGCAUAAUGUCUUCUGGAAUGUGUCUAGACUUGCUGGCUCCUUGCUUAUGGCCCUCCUAGGCUCCUAGGCUCCUAUUCCCAUUAUCUCAAGUAGCAGAACAUGUUCCAUAUAAAUGCUAAACCAUCACAGCUGUAAAUCAUGUGCUUAAUGCAACAUGUCCUUUUGACCUCCACAUUCUCACCACCUGUUUCUUUGUUGGAUUACCAAUAAAUACCGUGGGCUCCCAGAGCUCUGGGCCUUCACAGACUCCAUGAUAGUGAUGGCCCACCUUUUUCUCUUUCACUGUCUUUUCCUCAAUCCUUUGACUCUGCCAGACUUUGUCACCCCAAUGACCUGGUAUUGGGUCUGAUCACCCCAACAACAUCUUUGUUUAGGUAGAAGUCAGAAGUUAAGUCAGUAGGUGAGAUUGCUCAGAAAGCAGAGACAGUAACAGAAUACUAAGAAGUGUAAGCCUAAAAGCACUAAGUUUUAAGAUGAGGGUUAAAAGAAAGUGUUAGCAAAGAAGACUGAGGGAGCAGCCACAGAGAUGGCAGGAAACCCAGGGAAGACAAGCAUGAUAGAAGUUACCAAAGCCAGAAAAAAAUUUCAAAAAGAAGAUGCGGCAAGCGUAGAAACAUUUCUAAGACAGACCAAAGAAUGAAAUGAACAUUGAGGAGGUCCUCAGUAAUUAUGGUAAAGGCAAAUUCAAUCUAGCAACUAGGAAAAUUGAAGUCAAUUUUGUGUGUGUUGAGAAAUUUAUUGUGGUGAAGGAGAGAUAAGAAGUAUAAUAAUUUUUCAAGAAGCUUGCCUGAGGAGGAGAUAAAUGGGGUGUCAGCUUGCUAGAAAAGGAUGAGUGGUUGAAUGCACAGAUGUGUCUGCUUUUGAGAUUGGAGAGAAAUGGCAAAACUUGCUGAGUGGAAGAUAGAGUUUAACAAUUGGAAAGUAUAGUUGACACAAGAAGGGAUGAGAGUCUACAGAAUGAGUGGGGCUUUCUCUAGUUUUCUUUAUGCUCUAAGCUGCUCCCACUGAGUUGGGAAAGUAAGAAAGUGCAUAUGAGAGAGGAAAUGGAAAUACCUCUCCCAUACCUUCCUACCUUAAUCAUUAGAAUAACACCUUUCCUUUUUUACCACACCAAAACUUUGAAGAUAAGUAUAUUUAGGCACAGGGAUUUUUAUGGCAUAAAAAUAUCACAAAUAUUAGUUGUGAUUAGUAAAAUCCUCUCACUCAAACUGCACAAAAUCACAUCAACUUGACUUCAAAAACAGGGUAAAAGCAAUUGUUCAUUUAAUUAUCUUAAAACUCAACUUUAGGUGUUUUGUUGUUGUUGUUGCUUUGCAAAAAUUGGCAAUUAUCAGCUCCUGAACAAAAGAGCUCCUCCCACGAUGCCUGAAAAUACUAAUUUAGGUACAUUGAAAGGGGGAAAGUCUGUCCAUGUAUUAUUCAGUUCAUUAGUCAAGUAGAGCUAAAGCGGUUAAUAUUUGGUCCAAUUCUCCAUCUUUCUCUUAUUUUUCAAGUGAGGAGACUGAUCAUUAUUGAGAAAAUGUGCUCACACUGUGUGAAUGUUUUUAUUUUAUGCGUCUUCAGAGUCUGAUAAGGGCACUAUGCAUUUAGGGUUUUAUUUUUUAAAAAUAGUACCUUUCCUUAGUGUACAGUUAUUCAGAAACAUCUGUUGGUUUCAUUUUUGAAGUUGUAAUGGCAUUCACACAAAGCAUGGAAAACAUAAAUAGCAUAUAAUGAUGGAAAGGACUCAUCACAGGAAACCAAGAUUUAACCUCAGUGGAAAUUACAUAGGGGAAAAAAGAGCAGUAUUUUGUCUCAGACAGACCUAAAUUGAGAUUACAACUGUGAUACCAGCUGUCUCAGGGCAAGUUUCUUAGCCCCUACAAACAUUACUUGUUAAAUGCUGAUAGGCCCUUUCUGUUGGGCAGGAAUUUCUGCGGAAGCUAUCUUAGGUUAGUUUAUAGCUAUAGUUCCUAAGCCCUCACCAAAGCCACAGAAUGAAAGAAAAAGUUUAUCUUUCCCAGGUCUCCAAAACUGCCAAAAUUAUGUUUUUACCCUAGAGAAUAGAACAGAGCCAAACUUGAGAAAAAGUAACCUUUAAUGGGCUGUGAGAGUAAUCACUGACAGGACAAUGAGGAACAGGGGUAGAAAUCGGGGAAAGGAAGGCAGUACACCUGAUGACACGGGCACACCGGGGCUGGGUGAGAGCUCCGAUUUUGUUUAGUUUCUAUGAUUUGAGUACUUCAGUCUCUUUUUCUACAACCCUGUUGACUGGAAAGGUACACAGAUUCUACAAGCACAAGGCCCUGUAGACUUAGGCAAGUUUAAACCUAAUAGAUGAAAUGGCCAGCUUUGCAGAGCAAAAUAUCAAAGGGAGUGAGCCAAAUAAGAGCCACCAGUGGGGAAAAAUCUGAAGGCCAUAGAGAUGAGAAUAGGAACUUCCCACUCCAUCAUCAAUGUCCAUUCUGGUGUUCUUCUUUAAUAUGUGCUACACUCUACCCAUGGCCUCUUUUUCAUUCCCAAUAUUACUUAUUUGUGAUUUCCUUUAUUUAAAAAUAAUCAAUACUGCCAGAGGUUAUCCAUUUGUCUUUCCAAAAAACUAGUUUUGGCCUUUGUUGAUUCUUUCUGUAAUCUGUUGCUUUCUAUUUUAUUAAUUUUGGCCCUUUUUCUUUCUUUCUAGUCUUUUUGGGUUUAUUCUGUUAUUUUUCUAACUUCUUAAGUACGUGCUUAGUUCAUUUUUUAAAAAUUCUUUUUAUUUUGUAAUUUUAUAAAUUUUCUAAGUACCUCUUUAGUUAGGCCAUCCAGGUUUUGAGUAUCGUAUCUUAAUUGUAAUCGAGCUCCAAAUACUUUAUUUCCAUAAAAAUUUGUCUUUGAAGUUUGUUACUAAAUUUAUAAAUUAUGAUGAAUUAUAUUUAUCUUUGCAUUACUGUUUUCUAACUUAAUUGCAUAGUGGACAGAGAAGAUAGUAUGUUUGAUACAGACCAUCUAGUAUGUUGAAACUUGCCUUGUAACUAAGUGCAUGGUCAAUUUUGAAAUGCCUCAUUUAUGCAUGAAAAGAAUGAGUCUUCUCUAAUUGUUGUCAUUCUCUAAUUGUUGUAGAUAAAACUACCUAGUUCUCUAAUUGUUGUAGAUAAAACUACCUAACUGUAUUAUUUGAAUUUUCUAUAUUCUUAAAAAAUUUUGCUACCCAUGAGUUAAUUAGUGGCAGAAAUGUGAGUUCAUUGAUUUUCUUUGGAAUGUUAUCAAUUUCUGUUUUAUAU